GAAAAAUCCUAUAAUUUAAAAUGUGUCUAACAAGAGGGUGUAAAUUAUCUCAGUAAUAAAAGAAAAUCAUAUUGCUACAAGAUUAUUAACAUUAAGAAAAUCAACUCCUUUCUUGAGUUAAUAUGGUGUGGCCAAGGCAGCGGGAGCGGGAUAAACGGACGCGCCAAGGAGCCGUGAAGAAGGCCCAGCAAAGUGCUUCUUUCUCUCUGGAAGGAUGUCGGCUCUCUGUGCUUUGCCAUCCCUGAGGACGCUUGAUGUCAUCUUGUCUACCUGAUCAUUACACUACCUGCUCUCCUCUACAAUGCUGCCCUCUCGCUGCUCCGCCACUUGAAAUUCUUGGCUGGCCUCUUCUCUGAAACCAUCAGGAAAUUGUGCGCUAAAACGCUGCAGACUGUUCCCCCUCUCUCCUCCCUCCAGCCAUGUGUGCAGGAGCCAGAAAAAGAUUCCUCCACUGCUGCUCAGUCAAAGGGAAAACACACAAAAUGUCCUUCAGCCGCCUGCCACCGCUCACCUCUCACAGCUUUUAUAGGACUUAUUGAUGUUUGUAGUGUGUGGCAUUUUACUGCAAUAUCCAAGUACAUUUAAUGGACACAAACCAAGUUGUUUGAAUAAAGAGUUCCUUUUGUAGAUUUCAUCGUUUAUUAAGUCCCACGUGUAAAGAAGCACAGGUGUAAAUAAUAAAAUGAAUGAUGGCUUAAUACCAUUUGGCUGCUUCAGUGUAAGGGUCCUGGUGUUGAGGAUGCUGCUUCACUGUCACACAGUCAUGACUAUUGCUUACAUUAUUAGUAACAGCUGUGAAAGGUGCAAUGUGGAGUGGAGUUUUCAGUACUUGAAAGCCUAAGUCACGGCGAAGAUGCCCCAAGAACACCGCUAGUGUCUAUUUAAGCUGAGCAAACAAUAUAUUCCAUUCAUGAACACAAUGAUUUACAAACAUUAACACACUGCGAGUGAAUGUGUUCAUCUGCAGUUCAAACUACGUGUAAAUGAUCUAGAUAAUAGGAAUGAAUAACAAAUCAUGUGCUCUGUAUAUUGAAAUGUUGGUUUAUUUCACAUAAAGCUAAACCUGUUUCAAUGUGAGCACCUGAGUAUUGUUCUAAGACUUGAAACUUACACAUUUUUCUAUAAGGUCCUUUUUACACACUGUUUGUAUUGUGUAAUAUAACAAUUUAACUCAGUAAGGUAAUAAAUCACUACAUUGUCAGUUACAUUACUGUCAGUAGACGCGACACAGGUACAUUUUUACUAAAGAUUAUUUAACAGAAGACUCUUUCACAUGUAUUAGUUGCUUGUAAAGUAUGCUGAUAUUUGAGUUAGUUAGGUCUACUUCUCUCUUCUUAUUCUUCCAGACUCUUACUGACAAUUUGGCAGCAUGCAGAAACUCUUUUUAGAUAUUCUGAAAUCAGUGUAGGCGUAAACACACUAACACUUGUACUGAAACACUGAAGAGCAUCAUGUAACAAAAAUGAUUUCAACAUUUCAGUUCAUUUUUUGUCAGGUUGUGUGAACAUGGCAGCAGUGUGAAGAUGGCAGCAGUGUUCUAGCAGUGAUCUGGCUCACAUCCGUACAGUCAGUGGAGACCCACAGUAAAGAACGCAGCGUCCUGCUGCUGGACAUUAAGCAGUGGAGGGUGAAGAAGUGUCUUGCUCAAGAGCAACUCAGCGGCAUCUACAGAGGGAGGGGACGCCUCUAACUAUUAGUUUUUCUUUCCCAGUUGCACUCAGCCGGCUCAUCCUGGGAUUUAAACCCUCGCAGAUGAGCUUCUGUUAGAUGGCCCACUGUUCUGUUCCAUCGCACACUUCAAAAUAAAAGUCCUGAAAUAACUGUGCUUUUACAGUAAUACGCCUGUUGUAUUUACUGAAAUUGUUUGACAUUAGAGAUUAUGUACUUCAUGUAUUAAAUGUAAAAGACACAAAUGCAUCUGAUAUACACUAUUCUUCAUUUCCUAAAGUAACUAAUUUACACAAUAUAGCUUUCCAUCAUAGGGACAUUCUCUGGAACUCCUAUAUAUUUUAUUCUUCCUGAUGUUUAUGGGUUUGAAGUAUUAAACUUGAGCAUGAGUUGUUUGUUUUUGACUUUUGUGCACCUUCAAAUGAAUACACAUCUGAAGUUUCAUCGUAAUGAACAUAGGCUGGAAGAUGCACGACACACACUACCAAAUCCACCAUUUCAUUAUACGUUUGGGGUAAAUGCUGGGCAGUGGUGGAAAGUAACUAAGUACAUUUACUCAAGUACUGUACAUAAGUACAAUUUUCAGAUUUAUGUACUUUACUUAUAUAUUUCCAUUUCACACUAUAUACUUCUAGUCCUCUACAUUUUAUAUAUUGUUAUUUUUAUAUUUAUUUAAUAACUUCAGUUACUAGUUACUUUGCAGAUGUAAAAUAUUAAUACAAAAUGUUAAUCAACUAAGACAGCAGCAUAUAAAGUAAUUUAAAUUAGCCACACCUUUAUAACCCAGUGAUAUCAUAUAUAUGAUUCUGAAAUGGGCGUUCUGCAUGAGUACUUUUACUUUUGGUACUUUAAGUAUAUUUUGGUGCGAAUACUUACGUACUUUUACUUCAGUACGAUUUUGAAUGCAGGACUUUUACUUGUAACAAAGUAUUUUUACACUGUAGUAUUGCUAAGUAAAAUAUCUGCUUCUUCCACCACUGGGUGAAGGUAAACAAUGACCUCAUUAAAUACAGUAUAUACAAAUGUUUAGAUUCACUUAAGUGUCACGAGGAAAGGCAUUUAUUCUGAAUUCAAUUUUAGAGUGUGUUCAUGAGUGAGUGUGUGAGCUGUUUUUAUUUGUUUAAUGCUGUAGGUGUGUAUCUCCCCUACAGGCUAACUACUGUGCACUGCUGUAGUUAAACUACAACAAAGCAUCAUGUGUUUCAUAUGUUGCAUCUUAUUCUGUAAAGUGAAUAUUAAAAACUGCUGUCAGAUACAUUUAUUGGAAUAAA
Long non-coding RNA from Cottoperca gobio, 2939 nucleotides. RefSeq lists it as uncharacterized. The transcript is spliced from 3 exons. The record is from RefSeq and is a predicted model, not a curated record. Lineage: Eukaryota; Metazoa; Chordata; Actinopteri; Perciformes; Bovichtidae.